Long non-coding RNA from Anneissia japonica, 451 nucleotides. RefSeq lists it as uncharacterized. The transcript has 3 exons. The record is from RefSeq and is a predicted model, not a curated record. Lineage: Eukaryota; Metazoa; Echinodermata; Crinoidea; Comatulida; Comatulidae.
CUUUCAUGCAUUAUAAAGUACAAGUUGUUUUCUUAUCAAGAUUACUAUGUUUCCGCAUAGGUCUACUGGUAAAAAUUUAUACAAUUUGUUUCUCAAAAGCGUUAAUACCACUGCGAAAUUUAUCAAUGGUUUUAAUGACGGACGACUAAAGCUGAUCAUUUCGAUGCUAUAUAUAACAGAGGUUUCAUAUUAUGUGAAAUGAUGUGUGCCCAUCGAGAGGUUCAUAUUAUAAUGGAUACUUUGCGUGUACUAUUCUUUGUGACGCUAGCCUCCCAUGUGACUUCGCAAACAGAGGCUGGGCUGAGACCAGUUCCUCCGAUCUGCCAACCUAUGGAGUCCUGUCUAGACUCGGUUAGCAUGCAUUGUAAGCCAGGAUGCAGUAGUAUUUUAUUUACAGAGGGGAUUCGUCCGAAACCCCCCACCACCCGGAUCCGCGGUAGCCGAUCAUUUC